UUUUAAUUAUCUUUUGAGUUAAAAGAAAAUCAUUUUAAAAAAACUCUUGUGUGUUCAUUCAAACAAAACCUAACAACAACUUAUGCCCAAUUAUUAAGGGAAAACUCAAAAAUCACCAACUUUCGCCAAAAAAAUUACAAAUUUGAAGAAAUUCGAAGUAGUAGGAUCUGAUUGACACUUUUGAGGUAAACUGUGACAGAUUUAAGACAUGUCGAUAUCCAGAAGGCUGGUUAUCUUUAAUGAGCUCUACUUGAUUUUGGAUUGUGGGAUUCUUUUACACCAGGCAAAAGAAAAAUUUAGGGAUAUUUUGUAUGUUGAUUUGCAAAGAUUUUUAGGACGAUCAUAUUAUUGAUACUUGGAAAAAGACAAAUCAAAAAUGAAUCCUUGCAUGAUGAAAGAAACUCGUGAUAAGAAGUCAAAAGCCUACUAUUAUUGCAAAACUGCCUCAAUAACUGAGAUGCAACAAGUGAUUAUAUUCUUUUGCAAACACAAAUCAUAUCACUUCUCAAAUGUUAUGUUAGAGCACAAUUCCAUCGAUAUCCAUUGAGAUAACACCCGACCUAAUUCUUUUCUACAAUGAUGUUAAAGCUAAUAAUAGAGUCUUGCUACUUUAGCUUAUAAAUGUAUUAAAUUGUGAAUCACAUUUAUCUAUUCCAUAUGAACAUUUGCUUAACGGCAUAGACAAUCAAUAUGUAUACGAAACUGCACGUGAUUUUGUUAGACAAUGUUGGUAUAAUAUCAACUUAUUAAGCAUGGAUGAUUAUUCGGUGAAGAAAUUAUGCAGUAGUAAGCCUUUGACAUA
This is a long non-coding RNA of Solanum dulcamara, 802 nucleotides long. RefSeq lists it as uncharacterized. NCBI's taxonomy places the organism in Eukaryota, Viridiplantae, Streptophyta, Magnoliopsida, Solanales, Solanaceae. The record is from RefSeq and is a predicted model, not a curated record. The transcript has 5 exons.